RNAcentral lists this long non-coding RNA (375 nucleotides) under Oncorhynchus kisutch (coho salmon). Its description in RNAcentral is "lncRNA (ENSOKIG00005000751.1)". Lineage: Eukaryota; Metazoa; Chordata; Actinopteri; Salmoniformes; Salmonidae. The record is from RNAcentral.
UCAAGGUCCAUGUUUGAGUUUGAGGGGUGUAGGCACAGCAUAACAGAUGUGUGUAUAGUGUAUAAUGAUGGUCUGUGUUUUGUUGCAGUAUUUUCCUGAAGGAGCUGGAGAACUACGAACAGCUACCUGAGGAUGUGGGUCACUGCUUCGUCACCUGGGCAGAUAAGUUCCACAUGUAUGUGACGUAUUGUAGAAAUAAACCAGAUUCCAGCCUUCUGAUCCAGGCAACAUGGGGCAGGCUUCUUUCAGGAGGUCCAGAGGAGACAUGGUCUUGCUAACUCCAUCUCCUCAGCGCUCAUCAAGCCGGUUCAGCGCAUCACCAAGUACCAGCUCCUUCUCAAGGUACAGAACAUGAGAAAUACUGAUGUGUGUUGG